RNAcentral lists this ribosomal RNA (253 nucleotides) under uncultured bacterium. RNAcentral describes it as "partial 16S ribosomal RNA". It matches the Rfam family "Bacterial small subunit ribosomal RNA", at positions 524 to 776 of the family's 1533-position model. The record is from RNAcentral.
GACAGAGGGUGCAAACGUUGUUCGGAAUUACUGGGCGUAAAGCGCGUGUAGGCAGCCGUGCAAGUCGGGUGUGAAAGCCCUGGGCUCAACCUAGGAAGUGCGCUCGAAACUGCAAGGCUGGAGUCCUGGAGAGGAAGGCGGAAUUCUCGGUGUAGAGGUGAAAUUCGUAGAUAUCGAGAGGAACACCGGUGGCGAAGGCGGCCUUCUGGACAGUGACUGACGCUGAGACGCGAAAGCGUGGGGAGCAAACAGG